CCAGCAAAGCCAGCAGUUGGUUGAUGUCCAUCAAGUUCGUGGAGUCCCAGCCUGAGGCAGGGGACGGCAGCUUCAGAGCUUCAAACAGGGAGCUGACGAGCCUCCUUGUAUCCUGCAAGUCAGCCCAGCUCACCACCAGCACGUAGACCACGCAGAGGCAGCCCACAGUGGUCACAACCACGGGAUUGUCCUCAAAGGUGGCAAAGAGCUCAGCGGUCUGGCGGACAUCGACGGCAUUGGGCAUCACCAGGAACGCGCUUCCAAAGAAGUUUUAAGCUGGUCGCCUCCCCUAGGAAGGAAGGCCGCCUCACCCUAGGAAGCAGCUCAAGAAGCUGGCCCGGUGAGAGGACUACCUGGAGCAGCAUUUGGUGGGAGGUGAGUUUUGGCGUCGUAGCUGGUCUUGUUGGGG
This is a non-coding RNA of Equus caballus (horse), 409 nucleotides long. The record is from RefSeq and is a predicted model, not a curated record. Lineage: Eukaryota; Metazoa; Chordata; Mammalia; Perissodactyla; Equidae.